CCUACGGGUGGCAGCAGUGGGGAAUAUUGGGCAAUGGGCGCAAGACUGACCCAGCAACGCCGCGUGAAGGAAGAAGGCUUUCGGGUUGGAAACUUCUUUUCUGAGGGACGAAGAAAGUGACGGUACCGCAGGAAUAAGCCACGGCUAACUAAAGGCCAGCAGCCGCGGUAAUACGGAGGUGGCAAGCGUUAUCCGGAGUUAUUGGGUGUAAAGGGCGUGUAGGCUGGAAAGCAAGUCAGAUGGGAAAACUAAGGGCUCAACCCUGAGCCUGCAUUUGAACCUGUUUUUCUUGAGUGCUGGAGAGGCAAUCGGAAUUCCGUGUGUAGCGGUGAAAUGCGUAGAUAUACGGAGGAACACCAGUGGCGAAGGCGGAUUGCUGGACCGUAACUGACGCUGAGGCGCGAAAGCGUGGGGAGCAAACAGGAUUAGAUACCCGUGUAGUC
This 443-nucleotide ribosomal RNA is filed under the name uncultured bacterium. RNAcentral's name for it is "partial 16S ribosomal RNA". It matches the Rfam family "Bacterial small subunit ribosomal RNA", at positions 338 to 795 of the family's 1533-position model. The record is from RNAcentral.